GCAUAGAAAAAGACAAUGUGAGGAUACAUCAAGAAGGUGGUUAUCGUCUCUCAUAGUGUCCCGUGCCAGAGCAAACCGUAGCCCUGAAUCAUUGCCUGGCCUCUGCCUUAGGCUGCUGGCAAUGAAGAGGGUUGCACAGUG
Ictidomys tridecemlineatus (thirteen-lined ground squirrel) is the source of this 141-nucleotide small nucleolar RNA. The record is from Ensembl. NCBI's taxonomy places the organism in Eukaryota, Metazoa, Chordata, Mammalia, Rodentia, Sciuridae.